This 500-nucleotide ribosomal RNA is filed under the name uncultured bacterium. RNAcentral describes it as "bacterial SSU rRNA". It matches the Rfam family "Bacterial small subunit ribosomal RNA", at positions 1 to 480 of the family's 1533-position model. The record is from RNAcentral.
CCUUGGGAUCAAAAAAAGGCAUUCCCAUUAGAGUUUGAUCUUGGCUCAGGAUGAACGCUAGCGGGAUGCCUAACACAUGCAAGUCGAACGGGAUUGGUAGCAAUACCAUGAGCGUGGCGCACGGGUGAGUAACGCGNAUGCAACCUGCCAAUAACAGAGGGAUAGCCCAAAGAAAUGUGGAUUAAUACCUCAUAGUCCUUUAGUUUGGCAUGGAAUUGAAGGUAAAACUCCGGUGGUUAUAGAUGGGCAUGCGUGACAUUAGNUAGUUGGUGAGGUAACGGCUCACCAAGGUGACGAUGUCUAGGGGUUCUGAGAGGAAGAUCCCCCCACACAGGUACUGAGACACGGACAGACUCGUACGGGAGGCAGCAGUGAGGAUUAUUGGUCAAUGGGCGCAAGCCUGAACCAGGGCAUCCCGCGUGCAGGAUGACGGCCCUAUGGGAUGUAAACGCUUNUGUACAGGAAGAAUAAUCCCGAUGUAUCUGGACUUGCCGNUACGC